This 90-nucleotide transfer RNA is filed under the name Poronia punctata. RNAcentral describes it as "tRNA-Pro". It matches the Rfam family "tRNA". From Rfam's summary of the family: Transfer RNA (tRNA) molecules are approximately 80 nucleotides in length. Their secondary structure includes four short double-helical elements and three loops (D, anti-codon, and T loops). RNAcentral also lists the same sequence under 3 other names. Lineage: Eukaryota; Fungi; Ascomycota; Sordariomycetes; Xylariales; Xylariaceae. The record is from RNAcentral.
GGUCUGGUGGUCUAGUGGUAUGAUUCUCGCUUAGGGUUCACCCUACAGCAAAUAUGCGAGAGGUCCCGGGUUCAAUCCCCGGCCAGACCC